Molecule: ribosomal RNA, 301 nt
Filed under: uncultured bacterium
Lineage: Bacteria
Description: partial 16S ribosomal RNA
Rfam family: Bacterial small subunit ribosomal RNA
Source: RNAcentral
CAGUAGCCGCGGUAAUACGAAGGGGGCUAGCGUUGCUCGGAAUGACUGGGCGUAAAGGGCGCGUAGGCGGAUUGUUUAGUUAGGCGUGAAAUUCCUGGGCUCAACCUGGGGGCUGCGCUUGAUACUUGGUUGCUUGAGUGGGGAAGAGGGUCGUGGAAUUCCCAGUGUAGAGGUGAAAUUCGUAGAUAUUGGGAAGAACACCGGUGGCGAAGGCGGCGACCUGGUCCUUGACUGACGCUGAGGCGCGAAAGCGUGGGGAGCAAACAGGAUUAGAUACCCCCGUAGUCCCUGUCUCUUAUAC